Cyprinus carpio carpio is the source of this 1970-nucleotide long non-coding RNA. NCBI's taxonomy places the organism in Eukaryota, Metazoa, Chordata, Actinopteri, Cypriniformes, Cyprinidae. The record is from Ensembl.
AUACCAUCAACACUGCAUUGAUGUGGAACAAUCCAGUGGAGUCUAAACAUUCCUCUCCUCAGAUCUUAUCAUUAAGAGAAAGUUUGACAAAGAGGAAUACAAUUUUAUUAGAUUUUUAGAAUUUAUCUUUCUCUACUAUGUAGAAAUACAUGUGUGAUACGGAAGCUCAAAAGAGAACUUUUCAGUUUCAGACAGCAGCAGAGAGAGAUGCAGAGAUAUUGCAGAGAUGCUCACUUCAGUUUUUUUGGCAAAGAACAACAGGCCCCUCCCACGACAGUUUGAUUGACAGUAGCGUUUCAGCACAGACUGGACUGGCGUUUUACCUUAGACCCACCCUGAGUGAGCUGUCAUCAGUCCACCAUUGUUUGACCGCCGGAGCAGAUGUAGACAAGAAUGUCUUCUAAGCGAUUGAGGUGUUCUACUGUUGGAUGUAAUAAUGAACAUAGCAGUCGUCAUUUUCUCCUGACAUUUGAGCUGCUGAAGACACAGUGGAUUACAUUUUGUGCCCCCGAUCUACCUAAAGACAUCUAUCUUUGCGUGAAUCAAUCGUGAUCCUGCUUCACCAACAGAAAAAGCAGCCCAAAUGGCUCUGAUGGCUCUUGAAUGCACCUUUCCUAAAGCUCCAGAAAACACCUGAUUCUGUUGAAGAAAACUGUCAAAGGUUUUGGAUUGGGAAAAGCAGUUACCAGUGUGCAUGAGGUGAUUUCUCAGUAACAGGAAUAUCUGGCAACACUGGCAGAACUUAAAGUGAUAGUAAUCAAAAGAGCCCACAGACAUGUUAUUGCUGACAGGAUACCACAUUCGAGUAAACAGAGUUCCUCACUCUCUGACCAGGAUACAGGAGAGGAAGACCUGGGGCCUGAUGUAUAAACGUUGCGUACGCACAAAAUGGGCAUAGAAAUAUGCAUACGCAUUUUUCCACGCACAUAUCGGGAUUCAUAAAAAAUAAACUUGGCGUAAAUAAGUGCGCACCGUAAGGAUGCUCUUGACCGUGCGUACGCACUUCUUUUUCCUGGAGUGAGAAAAGUAAUUAAGCAAACAGCGAUUUUAAACAUAAUGAAAAAUACCACUAUGUUUGAAGGAUAUAACUAGGAGAAAACGGUAAGAUUUGCACCUUUCCUUUUUAAAAUACUUUGUCAGUGACAAGCCGAAUCAGACAAUUGUGUUUACACUGCAAUAAAUAUGGACUUAUCUGUUUCCACUAAAAAAGCUUAAAGAUGUUCAUCAGCAAAACUGCAUACAUUUAAUUUGAUUUUUUUUUUAAACAAUUGAAAUACUAUUUGGCCAGUGGAAAAGAAUGAGAUCAACUCUAUUCUAAAAUAUAUCUGAAAACAACUUUAAACCAUCUUGUGUUUAUGGAUAUUUUCAUAUUAUUAAACAUAACAAUGAUACUGGAUAAUUUUUAGCAAUAAAAAUUAAUGUGUAUGGCACAAAUGACAUUAUAGUCCCCAUCUCAUAUUUCCUUAAUGUCUCAGUGUUAAACAUCGUGUCACCUGCAUGGGAAUAUGCAUGGAAAUGACAUGCAGAUGAGGUUAUGCAUAGUAAAACAAGGCGUUGUAAGCUCCAUAUAUGGUGAUUUCGGGGAGGAGUCGGGGUGGAGAUGCACAUACACGCAAUCUUCCCCUGACUGGGAUUUAUAAAGGGAUUUUUGCGCAGGUUCUGGCGUACGCAUGGUUUUAUAAAUCUGAAAACUUUUGUGCGUACGCACACUUUAAGGAUGAAAUCUACGCAAAGUUUUAUAAAUGAGGCCCCUGGACUCAGAGGAUUCAGAAUUCUGGCGGCUACAGGGGCAGCUGCAGGAGGAGGCCUGUGUGGCUCUGGUGUUGGCCCGUCCCAUAGCCCGCAUGCAGGAGGAGGUGGAGAGACAGAUAAUGACAGAAUUUUCUUUUGUGGGUGUGAAUUAUCAUUGUUGUAUGGACCAUCUUACUCACAACAACUGUUGUAAUGUUUGUGGCAAAUAAAAAGUAAAC